GAGAUAUAUAUAGCCCGCUCGAUGGUCUUGUUAACAAGCCUCAUCAUAAAGAUGGAAAGGAUAAG
Sarcophilus harrisii (Tasmanian devil) is the source of this 65-nucleotide non-coding RNA. Lineage: Eukaryota; Metazoa; Chordata; Mammalia; Dasyuromorphia; Dasyuridae. The record is from Rfam.